Molecule: ribosomal RNA, 482 nt
Filed under: uncultured bacterium
Lineage: Bacteria
Description: partial 16S ribosomal RNA
Rfam family: Bacterial small subunit ribosomal RNA
Source: RNAcentral
AUUGAACGCUGGCGGCAUGCCUUACACAUGCAAGUCGAACGGUAACAGGUCUUCGGACGCUGACGAGUGGCGCACGGGUGAGUAAUGCAUCGGAACGUGCCCAGUCGUGGGGGAUAACUGCUCGAAAGAGCAGCUAAUACCGCAUACGACCUGAGGGUGAAAGCGGGGGACCGUAAGGCCUCGCGCGAUUGGAGCGGCCGAUGUCAGAUUAGCUAGUUGGUGGGGUAAAGGCCUACCAAGGCAACGAUCUGUAGUUGGUCUGAGAGGACGACCAGCCACACUGGGACUGAGACACGGCCCAGACUCCUACGGGAGGCAGCAGUGGGGAAUUUUGGACAAAGGGCGCAAGCCUGAUCCAGCAAUGCCGCGUGCAGGAAGAAGGCCUUCGGGUUGUAAACUGCUUUUGUCAGGGAAGAAAUCUUCUGGGCUAAUACCCCGGGAGGAUGACGGUACCUGAAGAAUAAGCACCGGCUAACUACGUG